Molecule: ribosomal RNA, 841 nt
Filed under: Enterococcus faecium
Lineage: Bacteria; Bacillati; Bacillota; Bacilli; Lactobacillales; Enterococcaceae
Description: bacterial SSU rRNA
Rfam family: Bacterial small subunit ribosomal RNA
Source: RNAcentral
GCUUGCUCCACCGGAAAAAGAGGAGUGGCGAACGGGUGAGUAACACGUGGGUAACCUGCCCAUCAGAAGGGGAUAACACUUGGAAACAGGUGCUAAUACCGUAUAACAAUCAAAACCGCAUGGUUUUGAUUUGAAAGGCGCUUUCGGGUGUCGCUGAUGGAUGGACCCGCGGUGCAUUAGCUAGUUGGUGAGGUAACGGCUCACCAAGGCCACGAUGCAUAGCCGACCUGAGAGGGUGAUCGGCCACAUUGGGACUGAGACACGGCCCAAACUCCUACGGGAGGCAGCAGUAGGGAAUCUUCGGCAAUGGACGAAAGUCUGACCGAGCAACGCCGCGUGAGUGAAGAAGGUUUUCGGAUCGUAAAACUCUGUUGUUAGAGAAGAACAAGGAUGAGAGUAACUGUUCAUCCCUUGACGGUAUCUAACCAGAAAGCCACGGCUAACUACGUGCCAGCAGCCGCGGUAAUACGUAGGUGGCAAGCGUUGUCCGGAUUUAUUGGGCGUAAAGCGAGCGCAGGCGGUUUCUUAAGUCUGAUGUGAAAGCCCCCGGCUCAACCGGGGAGGGUCAUUGGAAACUGGGAGACUUGAGUGCAGAAGAGGAGAGUGGAAUUCCAUGUGUAGCGGUGAAAUGCGUAGAUAUAUGGAGGAACACCAGUGGCGAAGGCGGCUCUCUGGUCUGUAACUGACGCUGAGGCUCGAAAGCGUGGGGAGCAAACAGGAUUAGAUACCCUGGUAGUCCACGCCGUAAACGAUGAGUGCUAAGUGUUGGAGGGUUUCCGCCCUUCAGUGCUGCAGCUAACGCAUUAAGCACUCCGCCUGGGGAGUACGACCGCAAGGUUGA